CGGGACGGGUGAGUAACGCGUGGGUAACCUACCCUGUACACACGGAUAACAUACCGAAAGGUAAGUCUAAUACAGGAUAAUAUAUUUGAGAGGCAUCUCUUGAAUAUCAAAGGUGAGCCAGUACAGGAUGGACCCGCGUCUGAUUAGCUAGUUGGUAAGGUAACGGCUUACCAAGGCGACGAUCAGUAGCCGACCUGAGAGGGUGAUCGGCCACAUUGGAACUGAGACACGGUCCAA
Molecule: ribosomal RNA, 237 nt
Filed under: uncultured bacterium
Lineage: Bacteria
Description: partial 16S ribosomal RNA
Rfam family: Bacterial small subunit ribosomal RNA
Source: RNAcentral